RNAcentral lists this transfer RNA (71 nucleotides) under Marmota monax (woodchuck). It matches the Rfam family "tRNA". From Rfam's summary of the family: Transfer RNA (tRNA) molecules are approximately 80 nucleotides in length. Their secondary structure includes four short double-helical elements and three loops (D, anti-codon, and T loops). Further hydrogen bonds mediate the characteristic L-shaped molecular structure. tRNAs have two regions of fundamental functional importance: the anti-codon, which is responsible for specific mRNA codon recognition, and the 3' end, to which the tRNAs corresponding amino acid is attached (by aminoacyl-tRNA synthetases). tRNAs cope with the degeneracy of the genetic code in two manners: having more than one tRNA (with a specific anti-codon) for a particular amino acid; and 'wobble' base-pairing, i.e. permitting non-standard base-pairing at the 3rd anti-codon position. The record is from Rfam by way of RNAcentral. Lineage: Eukaryota; Metazoa; Chordata; Mammalia; Rodentia; Sciuridae.
GUGGGUGUGGCUCAGGGGUAGAAUGCUUGCCUGGCAUGUGUGAGGCCCUGGGUUCCAUCCCCAGCACCACA